AACGAACGCUGGCGGCAGGCUUAACACAUGCAAGUCGAGCGGGCGCUUUCGGGCGUCAGCGGCGGACGGGUUAGUAACGCGUGGGAACGUGCCCUUUGCUCUGGAAUAGCCCUGGGAAACCGGGGGUAAUACCGGAUGUGCCCUGAGGGGGAAAGGUUUACCGGCAAGGGAUCGGCCCGCGUCUGAUUAGGUAGUUGGUGUGGUAACGGCGCACCAAGCCGACGAUCGGUAGCUGGUUUGAGAGGAUGAUCAGCAACACUGGGACUGAGACACGGCCCAGACUCCUACGGGAGGCAGCAGUGGGGAAUUUUAGACAAUGGGCGAAAGCCUGAUCUAGCCAUGCCGCGUGGGUGAUGAAGGCCUUAGGGUCGUAAAGCCCUUUCGCCGGGGAAGAUAAUGACGGUACCCGGUAAAGAAACCCCGGCUAACUCCGUGCCAGCCGCCGCCGUAA
This 451-nucleotide ribosomal RNA is filed under the name uncultured bacterium. Its description in RNAcentral is "partial 16S ribosomal RNA". It matches the Rfam family "Bacterial small subunit ribosomal RNA", at positions 28 to 523 of the family's 1533-position model. The record is from RNAcentral.